RNA transcript from Capsicum annuum, 1823 nucleotides. RefSeq lists it as uncharacterized. The record is from RefSeq and is a predicted model, not a curated record. Lineage: Eukaryota; Viridiplantae; Streptophyta; Magnoliopsida; Solanales; Solanaceae. The transcript has 10 exons.
AGGACAACUAUUGUUGACGAGCGGCUACAAAAAAAGUUUUGCUCGUCAAUGUAAAAUGAGUGAGAGACAAAAGAGGGAGGUGGAGGAAAGAGUUGGAGCAGAAUGGACCAAAGAAAUAAACGCGGGAAAAGCGGAAUGCUGAUUCCAAUUUCUUACUGCACCACCAAAAUCCUGACCCAAAUUAAGCAACAAAAAACUCUGCCGCUCUGUAAAUCCACAAGUCGGAAAAAAAAUCAUCGGCGCCGCCGGCCAGUAGGAGGAGCUCCACCAACAACCGCCGUCUCCUCCUCCUUCUGGCUUCCUUCCACGUGUUUCUCUCACUCCCGUAUAUGCACAAAACGUAACCAAUUUUCAACAAAAGCCUCUUCCGCCUGCCAAUUGUGAGAUUGAAAAUUCAAUUUGGAUAUACAUAUAUGUAAUUUAAGAAAAAUGAAGGUGAAUUGGGAGGUUGAGGAAUGUUGUAACCACGAUCAGACUAUCUUCCUUGUCACCAUUGGUGUCUACACCGUCUGCAUUUUUAUCUUAUGGAGAACAUUUAUUAUAACUCCUUUCAAGCUCAUUACUGUGUUUCUUCAUGAAGUAAGCCACGCGAUUGCUUGUAAGAUCACAUGUGGUGAGGUGGUCGGCAUCAAAGUUCAUGCCAAUGAGGGGGGAGUGACACAAACGCGUGGUGGUCUUACUUGGGUGAUAUUGCCUGCUGGAUAUCUGGGUUCAUCAUUUUGGGGAAUGGUUCUCAUACUCUCAUCGACGUAUGUUCUCUCUGCAAUGAUAGCUGCUGGUUGUUUUAUUGCUGCUUUGCUUAUCGUGCUCUGCCUUGCAAAAAAUUGGACACUUCGCGGACUUUGCAUCGGUUUUAUCAUUUUCAUUGGUGGAAUUUGGGCUCUGCAAAUUCAAACGGAUGUUCGUUUGCUCCGUUACGUAAUUCUUUUCAUAGGUGUUAUGAACAGCUUGUUUUCCGUAUAUGAUAUCUAUGAUGAUUUAAUAUCUCGAAGAGUGAACACGAGUGACGCUGAGAAAUUUGCUGAACUUUGUCCUUGCUGUUGUGCUGGUCCUUUUUGGGGAGUCCUCUGUUUUAUAGGGGAAUGAUAUCUUUUGCAUUUCUUUUUGGAGCUAUGUACCUUGGACUUGCCCUUUUAUCUUGAGGUCUUUUCGGAUGGGUUUAAUGGCCUUACAAUAUUGCAAAGCAGAGUUCUGUCAUCUCAUAAGUCUUUUGAUUCUUCAAAUGGCUGUUGUAUAGUAUAUCAUCAACCUUAGAUGCUAUUUGCACAGGGGUGCAUUCUCAUCAUUGACUGAGUGGGCACAUUUUUUUUAUCCCUAUUAGAUGGGGUAAGUACAUUUAUGACUUGUAUUUGUAUAGCAAAAUCAAAUACCAUGGUUUCCAGUUCAGCUGAUUCCUGUGCCAGAACUUUUCCAGACAUUUGUAAUUCAUGGUCUAAUUAGACAAAAUCUUGCUUCGAACAUGGGGAGUUUGCUAAGAGAAAAUUCAAGAGAAAGAGCCGAUUAUGUGGAAAAUCCUACAAAGAAGUUAUGCAAAUACAAGCACUCUAUAUACAGGCAUUCCAGCCCGUUUAAUGAGGGGGGAUGCUCUUUGUUUACAUCCAUUAGUUUGUAAAUUGGGAAACAAAAUUGUUUUUAGAGUUUGCAAGUCUUCAUUUCACUGUAAAUCAACGAGUACAGUGGGUUGUUUGAUGCCUGUACAUGACUUGGAGAACUUGGUUAGUUUUCCGCUGCUGCUUUGCUUGCACAUGACUUUUAACAAACAAAAGUGUGACUUUGGGGUUAUUCGAAGUAGUUGAAAUCUCACCUGGAGUGUAUUUCUCCAA